This is a non-coding RNA of Acanthosepion pharaonis, 110 nucleotides long. NCBI's taxonomy places the organism in Eukaryota, Metazoa, Mollusca, Cephalopoda, Sepiida, Sepiidae. The record is from the annotation of a GenBank genome assembly.
UUACGGCCACAUCAUGUUGAAACACUUGUUCCUGUACAAUCAAGCGAAGUUAAGCAAUGUUGAGCCUAGUCAAUACCUAGAUGGGUGCCCACUUGGGAACACCAGGUGUU